Molecule: ribosomal RNA, 502 nt
Filed under: uncultured bacterium
Lineage: Bacteria
Description: partial 16S ribosomal RNA
Rfam family: Bacterial small subunit ribosomal RNA
Source: RNAcentral
GAUUAACGCUGGCGGCGUGCCUAACACAUGCAAGUCGAGCGGCAGCGAGUUUUACACUGAAUUCCGGAAGCUUCUAGUUGAAAGAGAAGAUUUAUUCAAGAAUUUUGUGUAAAAUGUCGGCGAGCGGCGGACGGCUGAGUGACGCGUGGGAACGUACCCCAAAGUGAGGGAUAACGCAUCGAAAGGUGUGCUAAUACCGCAUAUGGUCUUCGGAUUAAAGCCUUCGGGCGCUUUGGGAACGGCCUGCGUAAGAUUAGAUAGUUGGUGGGGUAAUGGCCUACCAAGUCGACGAUCUUUAACUGGUGUGAGAGGAUGAUCAGUCAGACUGGAACUGAGACACGGUCCAGACUCCUACGGGAGGCAGCAGUGAGGAAUCUUCCACAAUGGGCGAAAGCCUGAUGGAGCAACGCCGCGUGCAGGAUGAAGGCCUUCGGGUUGUAAACUGCUUUUAUAAGUGAGGAUUAUGACAGUAACUUAUGAAUAAGGAUCGGCUAACUACGUG